This 263-nucleotide unclassified non-coding RNA is filed under the name Rhodiola chrysanthemifolia. Its description in RNAcentral is "partial internal trancribed spacer 1". The record is from RNAcentral. Lineage: Eukaryota; Viridiplantae; Streptophyta; Magnoliopsida; Saxifragales; Crassulaceae.
CAAGGUUUCCGUAGGUGAACCUGCGGAAGGAUCAUUGUCGAAGCCUAGAAAGCAUGACCGUGGACAAGUUGUUAAUCGUGGAUGCACUUGGAUCCUUCGGGUACUCCAUUUGCCUUCCCCUCGGUCGKUGAUGAGCCUUGCGCCCCUCGCUGAUCGAAACGAAUGAACCCCGGCGCGGAUCGCGCCAAGGAAUCGAAACCGAAAGAGCCUGGCUCGGUGGCUCGUUCUCGGGCUGCCAGGGCCAUAGGUCUAUUCGAAAUACC